UCAAUCAAUGAUCUGAAGUCAAGUGGGAUUGAUCUGAAGUCAAGUGGGAUACCCGCUGAACUUAA
RNAcentral lists this ribosomal RNA (65 nucleotides) under Rhizopus stolonifer. RNAcentral describes it as "28S ribosomal RNA". The record is from RNAcentral. Lineage: Eukaryota; Fungi; Mucoromycota; Mucoromycetes; Mucorales; Rhizopodaceae.